GGAGGGGUGGCAGAGUGGUCGAAUGCACCAGUCUUGAAAACUGGAGGCCGGGUCACCGGCCCGCGGGUUCGAAUCCCGCCCCCUCCG
This 87-nucleotide transfer RNA is filed under the name Solirubrobacterales bacterium. RNAcentral's name for it is "tRNA-Ser". It matches the Rfam family "tRNA". From Rfam's summary of the family: Transfer RNA (tRNA) molecules are approximately 80 nucleotides in length. Lineage: Bacteria; Bacillati; Actinomycetota; Thermoleophilia; Solirubrobacterales. The record is from RNAcentral.